UUUAAUCAGUUGUGUUAUUCGAUCAUUCACAAGAAUUUAGAGAAUUUACGAUAUGGUUUUGUGGAAAAUUGAAAGAACCCACUUGGUAAAAAAAUGAAAACUCUGAAACUCUGAAGAUAGCAUUAAAUAUACGACGUUAUAUAUACGAGGAAUCGUCGAAACUUACACAUGUAGAGAAACCAAGAUAAGCUGAAGUUGAAGUCGGAGAUGAUAAUCAUUAUAGUUCAGGUGGCAGUGGCAGUUUAGAAUACAAUAACUUGACCGUUUAUUUGGAAACAAUAAGUAAAAAGACCAUGACAUUAGCUAUAGCAAAACUUGGCAAGCUGACCAACCAACUGUGCAACAAGAAAAUGUUAGAUUCAUCUCUUCAGCUGAAUAAGAAUGAUGUUCUUGAAAUAUUUAAAAUUAUUUGAUAUCCAAAUUUAAAGGACAUGUGAAAAUGAUAAAAUAGUAUUAUCCGAUGAGAUUGUCAAUUGUUAAUUCAUUACAAAUUAUUUAGA
Long non-coding RNA from Mytilus trossulus (common blue mussel), 500 nucleotides. RefSeq lists it as uncharacterized. Lineage: Eukaryota; Metazoa; Mollusca; Bivalvia; Mytilida; Mytilidae. The record is from RefSeq and is a predicted model, not a curated record. The transcript has 3 exons.